RNAcentral lists this long non-coding RNA (1029 nucleotides) under Phasianus colchicus (ring-necked pheasant). RNAcentral describes it as "lncRNA (ENSPCLG00000014809.1)". Lineage: Eukaryota; Metazoa; Chordata; Aves; Galliformes; Phasianidae. The record is from RNAcentral.
CUCCACCACCUCCUCGGGCAGCCCAUUGCAGUGCCCGGCCACUCUUUUAGAGCAGUAUUUCAAAGCAUCCAGCCUAAAUCUCCCCUGGGGCAGUGUGAAGUCAUUCCCUUUCAUCCUAUCACCGUUACACAACAAAUCGCUGCUGUGAAGCACAGCAGCAUUGCACCGCUGCCUCACAAAUGCAAACCCGCUCCUUCCUCACACCGGAACCACAGCCAGCGCCGCCUCCCCGCCUCCAGGACCGGCUCCUUUCCGUCUGCGGUGACGGAAGUUCACCCCACGCCGUUCAGCCCUCGGUUCUCCCCGCUCCGAACCACGUCGCAUCGCCUCACCGAACACCGCAGCGGCCGCGGGGCGGACGGUGAAGGUCGCACAGCCGCUCAAGCUGCGGCCUUUACACCGGGCCGGGCGCUGGAGGCCUCACAACCCACAACCGGGUGCCCGGGGACCCGCCGUGCGGCCCCCAAACGCACCCAACACCACCCGGCUCCAACCACGAGGUCCGAGGUUACAGCACCAGCCCCGCUCCCCCCCUCCUUUCUCCCCCCGGCCGCCCCAGGAGCCCCGCGGAGCGCCCAACCUCCGCGCCGGCGGAAGGCCGAGUCAGCACGGAGAGACCGGAAGUCAGAAGGGGAAAGAGCGGAAGUCAGCAGGGGGAAAGCGGAAGUCGGUUGGGGAAAGAGCGGAAGUCGGCAAGAGAAAAGUAGGAGUCGGCGGGGAGAGACCGGAAGUCAGCUCAAAAGGAUCGGAAGUCAGUUCAAAAGGACCGGAAGUCAGUUCAAAAGGAACGGAAGUCUGAGCGGAUUGACCGGAAGUGCGCUGCAGACGGCAACGCAUCGCCGGAAGUGCUGUAAGAAGGGGGGGAGAGAGAGAGAGAGAGAGAGCAGAGUCAGAGAACCACAGAAUGGUUUGGGUUGGAAGGGACCUCAAGGAUCAUGGAGUUCCAACCCCACGCCGCACACAAAGCCACCAACCUCCACGUUUCACAGCAGCCCAGGCUGCCCAGGGCCCCAUCCAACCUGGCCCUGA